RNAcentral lists this ribosomal RNA (699 nucleotides) under Triticum aestivum (bread wheat). Its description in RNAcentral is "partial small subunit ribosomal RNA". Lineage: Eukaryota; Viridiplantae; Streptophyta; Magnoliopsida; Poales; Poaceae. The record is from RNAcentral.
AUGUUCGCCGCCCAAUCCCGCUCCCGCGCCAACAAUUGCCGCAUCGCCCUCUCAAACGCCCAAAAAGGCUCACAGAGUGCAACUACUUACUUCGGUCAGAUGCGAGCCCUCUUUGAUGAGCUCGCUGCAGCUGGCAAACCCAUCAAGGACGAGGAGCUUCUCUCCUUCAUCACCGGGGGCCUUGAUAUGGACUAUCAGCCCCUCAUCUCGGCGCUGGAUGUCCGCGUGGAUCCCCUGACCGUGGAUGAUCUCUUCAGCAUGGUCUCGGAUUUCGACCAACGAGUCGAGAUGUUCCAAGGAACAGGGGCAGGUGCCUUCAAAUCCUCUGCCAAUAUCGCUGCCAGAGGCCGUGGCGGGUCUCCCAAGGGAUACCGCAAGGUUGGUGGUCGUGGCGGCGGCUAUGGUGGUAACAACACCGGCGGCGGCAGCAACUACAACAACAGCACCACCGGCGGCGGCGGCGGCCACUAUCACCACAACAACAACUACUCUAGCAAUAACCGGCGCCCCUCCUACAACAAUAAUAGGGCCCGUCCGUUUCAAGGUUAUGAUGAGUAUGAAAAUAAAUUUCAAAUUUGCAAAAAAAAAACCACAUUGCAAAGGAUUGUGAUUGGCGCUAUGCCAAGAACAAUUCCCAAUGCAAGAAAGUUGCAGCAGCUGCAGAUACAUCUUAUGGAGUUGAUACAAAUUGGUAGUUGA